UACAGAGGUCUCAAGCGUUGUUCGGAUUUACUGGGCGUAAAGGGCGCGUAGGCGGCUUAACAAGUCACUUGUGAAAUCUCCGGGCUUAACUCGGAACGGCCAAGUGAAACUGUCAAGCUAGAGUGCAGAAGGGGCAAUCGGAAUUCUUGGUGUAGCGGUGAAAUGCGUAGAUAUCAAGAGGAACACCAGCGGCGAAGGCGGCAUCCUGGACUGGUACUGACGCUCAUGAGCGAAAGCGUGGGGAGCGAUCCGG
Molecule: ribosomal RNA, 253 nt
Filed under: uncultured bacterium
Lineage: Bacteria
Description: partial 16S ribosomal RNA
Rfam family: Bacterial small subunit ribosomal RNA
Source: RNAcentral